GGGAGCUUAGUUAAGUGGUAUAACUCCGGUCUCCAAAACCGGUGUCGGGGGUUCGAUUCCCUCAGCUCCUGCCA
RNAcentral lists this transfer RNA (74 nucleotides) under Patescibacteria group bacterium. Its description in RNAcentral is "tRNA-Trp". It matches the Rfam family "tRNA". Rfam says of the family: Transfer RNA (tRNA) molecules are approximately 80 nucleotides in length. The record is from RNAcentral.